ACGGGAGAGGCAAGCGUUGUUCGGAAUCAUUGGGCUUAAAGCGCGUGUAGGCGGCUCGUCAAGUGUCUUGUGAAAUCCCUCGGCUCAACCGGGGAAUCGUUGGGCAUACUGUCGGGCUUGAGGCAGGUAGGGGUGCCUGGAACUCUAGGUGGAGCGGUGAAAUGCGUUGAUAUCUAGAGGAACGCCCGUGGCGAAAGCGGGGCACUGGGCCUGUCCUGACGCUGAGACGCGAAAGCGUGGGUAGCAAACGG
RNAcentral lists this ribosomal RNA (251 nucleotides) under uncultured prokaryote. RNAcentral's name for it is "partial 16S rRNA". It matches the Rfam family "Bacterial small subunit ribosomal RNA", at positions 525 to 775 of the family's 1533-position model. The record is from RNAcentral.